GUGCUCACUUCGGCAGCACAUAUACUAAAACUGGACCAAUACAGAGAAGAUUAGCAUGGCCCCUGAGCAAGGAUGACAGGCAAAUUCAUGAAGCAUUCCAUAUUUUU
This 107-nucleotide small nuclear RNA is filed under the name Phocoena sinus (vaquita). The record is from RNAcentral. Lineage: Eukaryota; Metazoa; Chordata; Mammalia; Artiodactyla; Phocoenidae.